GGAGGAGUGCCGGAGCGGUUGAACGGGGCCGCCUUGAAAGCGGUUAGUCCGAAAGGACUCGGGGGUUCGAAUCCCUCCUCCUCCGCCA
RNAcentral lists this transfer RNA (88 nucleotides) under Acidobacteriota bacterium. RNAcentral describes it as "Acidobacteria bacterium (groundwater metagenome) tRNA-Ser". It matches the Rfam family "tRNA". Rfam says of the family: Transfer RNA (tRNA) molecules are approximately 80 nucleotides in length. Their secondary structure includes four short double-helical elements and three loops (D, anti-codon, and T loops). Further hydrogen bonds mediate the characteristic L-shaped molecular structure. tRNAs have two regions of fundamental functional importance: the anti-codon, which is responsible for specific mRNA codon recognition, and the 3' end, to which the tRNAs corresponding amino acid is attached (by aminoacyl-tRNA synthetases). tRNAs cope with the degeneracy of the genetic code in two manners: having more than one tRNA (with a specific anti-codon) for a particular amino acid; and 'wobble' base-pairing, i.e. permitting non-standard base-pairing at the 3rd anti-codon position. The record is from RNAcentral. Lineage: Bacteria; Pseudomonadati; Acidobacteriota.